CGCUGGGUAGCCCAAUGUGGCAGAGGCGCCGGUCUCAGAAACCGGCCAGUGUCGGUUCGAAUCCGACUCCAGCGA
Molecule: transfer RNA, 75 nt
Filed under: Phycisphaerae bacterium RAS1
Lineage: Bacteria; Pseudomonadati; Planctomycetota; Phycisphaerae
Rfam family: tRNA
About the family: Transfer RNA (tRNA) molecules are approximately 80 nucleotides in length. Their secondary structure includes four short double-helical elements and three loops (D, anti-codon, and T loops). Further hydrogen bonds mediate the characteristic L-shaped molecular structure. tRNAs have two regions of fundamental functional importance: the anti-codon, which is responsible for specific mRNA codon recognition, and the 3' end, to which the tRNAs corresponding amino acid is attached (by aminoacyl-tRNA synthetases). tRNAs cope with the degeneracy of the genetic code in two manners: having more than one tRNA (with a specific anti-codon) for a particular amino acid; and 'wobble' base-pairing, i.e. permitting non-standard base-pairing at the 3rd anti-codon position.
Source: Rfam by way of RNAcentral